AUUGAACGCUGGCGGCAUGCCUUACACAUGCAAGUCGAACGGUAACGGGCCUUCGGGUGCCGACGAGUGGCGAACGGGUGAGUAAUACAUCGGAACGUUCCCGAUCGUGGGGGAUAACGAGGCGAAAGCUUUGCUAAUACCGCAUACGAUCUACGGAUGAAAGCUGGGGACCGCAAGGCCUUGCGCGGACGGAGCGGCCGAUGGCAGAUUAGGUAGUUGGGGGGAUAAAAGUUUACCAAGCCGACGAUCUGUAGCUGGUCUGAGAGGAUGAUCAGCCACACUGGGACUGAGACACGGCCCAGACUCCUACGGGAGGCAGCAGUGGGGAAUUUUGGACAAUGGGCGCAAGCCUGAUCCAGCCAUGCCGCGUGCAGGAUGAAGGCCUUCGGGUUGUAAACUGCUUUUGUACGGAACGAAAAGCCUUCUUUUAAUACAGGAGGGUCAUGACGGUACCGGAAGAAUAAGCACCGGCUAACUACGUG
RNAcentral lists this ribosomal RNA (482 nucleotides) under uncultured bacterium. RNAcentral describes it as "partial 16S ribosomal RNA". It matches the Rfam family "Bacterial small subunit ribosomal RNA", at positions 30 to 507 of the family's 1533-position model. The record is from RNAcentral.